GACGAACGCUGGCGGCGCGCCUAACACAUGCAAGUCGAACGGAGCUGAGAGAAGCUUGCUUUUCUUAGCUUAGUGGCGAACGGGUGAGUAACGCGUGAGUAACCUGCCCUGGAGUGGGGGACAACAGUUGGAAACGACUGCUAAUACCGCAUAAGCCCACGAUCCGGCAUCGGAUUGAGGGAAAAGGAUUUAUUCGCUUCAGGAUGGACUCGCGUCCAAUUAGCUAGUUGGUGAGGUAACGGCCCACCAAGGCGACGAUUGGUAGCCGGACUGAGAGGUUGAACGGCCACAGUGGGACUGAGACACGGCCCAGACUCCUACGGGAGGCAGCAGUGGGGGAUAUUGCACAAUGGGGGAAACACUGAUGCAGCGACGCCGCGUGGAGGAAGAAGGUUUUCGGAUUGUAAACUCCUGUCGUUAGGGACGAUAAUGACGGUACCUAACAAGAAAGCACCGGCUAACUACGUG
This 468-nucleotide ribosomal RNA is filed under the name uncultured bacterium. Its description in RNAcentral is "partial 16S ribosomal RNA". It matches the Rfam family "Bacterial small subunit ribosomal RNA", at positions 28 to 507 of the family's 1533-position model. The record is from RNAcentral.